UACAGAGGAGCCAAGCGUUGUCCGGAUUGACUGGGCGUAAAGCGCACGCAGGCGGUCGCGCGCGUGGGGUGUGAAAUCUGGCCGCUUAACGGCCAGGCGCCAUCCCAUACGGCACGACUGGAGUGAUGCAGAGGUCGAUGGAAUUGCCGGUGUAGUGGUGAAAUGCGUAGAGAUCGGCAGGAACACCCAGGGGGAAACCAGUCGACUGGGCAUCUACUGACGCUGAGGUGCGAGAGCGCGGGGAGCGAACCGG
RNAcentral lists this ribosomal RNA (253 nucleotides) under uncultured bacterium. RNAcentral's name for it is "partial 16S ribosomal RNA". It matches the Rfam family "Bacterial small subunit ribosomal RNA", at positions 524 to 776 of the family's 1533-position model. The record is from RNAcentral.